This is a long non-coding RNA of Sander lucioperca (pikeperch), 231 nucleotides long. RefSeq lists it as uncharacterized. NCBI's taxonomy places the organism in Eukaryota, Metazoa, Chordata, Actinopteri, Perciformes, Percidae. The record is from RefSeq and is a predicted model, not a curated record. The transcript has 3 exons.
UUUGUGUGAAUGGGUAUAUAAGGUGAUGUGUGUUCAGUAGAGGACAUCAAACAACAAACAGCAACAGGUGGAAUCAGAGAGCAUCACAGCUUCAAUCACUGCAGUCAAGACAAAUCUACGGCAGACAAAACCUUAAAGCAUCUUUCCAAAAUGAUGAAGAUCUGUCUCAUUCUUCUUCUGUGUGUUGCCACUGGCAAUGCACAGACCACCACAGCUGCAGCAACGACAACC